This is a long non-coding RNA of Oreochromis aureus, 691 nucleotides long. NCBI's taxonomy places the organism in Eukaryota, Metazoa, Chordata, Actinopteri, Cichliformes, Cichlidae. The record is from Ensembl.
GUAAGCUGGAAGUUUUGCUUCUCAGUGCGGAAGGAUGAAAGAUGUGUUUUGAAAAUGCCACGUGACUACCGUCCUCCUCCCUCCCGGAUCAGUCCGCAUGUUCAUGGCGCCAGCAUUUGUUAUGGAAUAUAUUGAGCAAACCUGGAGAUAUUAUUGUUGUCAUUGCUGUGGAUCUUUACUGACUUGGCUCGGGACCAGCACUCCUGCUGUUGGACAGAAAGACAUCAACUUGAGAUAUGACUGCACUGUGCUGUUGCUGUGACUCCAGUUAAUUCUACAAGACAUGCUGUGACACCAGGAGAGAUGAGUCCUCUAUCACAGAUGGUGUGGUCAGUGAAGAUGGUCGCCUGCAAGUUCAAGCUCAUUGCAUCUCCAACCAUCAACCACUGCCACUGUACUUAAGGGAAGUUAAAGACUUUCUUCUGCACCUACAUUUGGAUCACCUUGAUCCAUGACAGUCAUUCAGGCAGUGAUGCCUGGACUAGAAACAAGCAUCCUUAAAAUAAUACAACAUUCCAGCUCAUGUGUUGGAAUGGAAAACAAAUGUGUUGUUUAAAUUAGAGACUGCACUUGUGACAGAACAACAAAUAUUUUAUUUUGAUUAUACAAGUAAUGUAAGUACAAAACAAACUUGUGGUAGGCCUAAACUUAUUUUCAGAAUAAUUACAUCUGAGACUUUGUUUCAUUGUAA